AAGACUAAGCCAUGCAAAUGUAAGAACAGCGAGCGCUCUCUGCACUUUCCUUAGGGUGGUGUAGCGAUGAAAAAGUGAAUCUGUACACGGCUCAUUAAAUCAGCUUUGGUUCAAAGAGAACUGAGCACUUGAAUACAUGGAUAACUUUGGAAAAUCUAGAGCUAAUACAUGCGGAAAGAUUUCUUUGUUUCGGGCAACUGAUUCAAGGAGAUUGCACUUAUUAGAACAAGAUCCUGUGAGUCGCUCUCUCGCGGAGUGGCUCUCAGCUACUUGUUGACUCUGGAUAAGCAAAGCUGACGUCCAAGUGCUGGCACUUUGUGUGUCUCACUUGACGCAUCCUUUUCAAGUGUCUGCCCUAUCAAAUUUCGAUGGUAGUCUAUAUGACUACCAUGUUGAUCACGGGUAACGGGGAAUCAGGGUUCGAUUCCGGAGAGGGAGCCUGAGAAACGGCUGCCAGCUCUAAGGAAUGCAGCAGGCGCGCAAAUUGCCCACUCUCAAUACGAGGAGGCAGUGAUAAGAAAUAAUCAUGCUUUCCAAUGGUCCCUCACGGGACCGGAAAGCAAUGAGCAUGAGACGGUGCUUAAAACCUCUAGUCGAGGAUCAAUUGGAGGGCAAGUCUGGUGCCAGCAGCCGCGGUAAUUCCAGCUCCAAUAGCGUAUAUUAAUGAUGUUGGUGCUGAAAAGCUCCUAGUUGGAUUUUGACGGUGGUUAAAGUGGUCAUUGAUUGACACCGUUUGGACUUGAAAGUAUGGGCUCGAGGCUCUCUCGCGGAGCUCAAGUACCGCUUUUGAGAAGGGGUCCAAUGCCACUACCACUCUCAUUGGUUUGAUUUCCGUUUACGGAUGGCUACCACUGCAUCACUUUCUCGGAAGCGAUGUGUGGCAAGUAUCUUGCGGUUAUCAUCCCAAAUUCAAACUGUGUCUUUACCUUGCAGCUUGGUGGGACUUGACUGUCACGCCAUACCGCAUAGGUGGCACAUGUUUACCUUGAAAAAAUCAAAGUGCUCAAAGCAGAUGUCCUCAGACCCUCACGGGUUUGAAGACAAAGUCUGAAUGAUGGUGCAUGGUAUAAUGGAAUAAGAUCUUGACGAUCUUGGUCGCUUCGAGACUCAUGAUUAAAAGGGACAGACGAGGGCAUUCGUACUGUUGGGCGAGAGGUGAAAUUCAUGGACCCCAGCAAGACGGACAAAGGCGAAAGCAUUUGCCAAGAAUGUUUUCAUUAAUCAAGAACGAAAGUUUGAGGCUCGAAGGCGAUCAGAUACCGCCCUAGUUCAAACCAUAAACGAUGCUAACCAGCAAUCAGCCUGAGCUCACAUUUUCUCAGCGCCUCUGACCUCCUUUGCGCUCCGCGUAUUCGAGGAUCCAGACCUGAGAUCAUUUGCGGUUCGGCUGGAGGCUCCCAAUCAUGUACGCGAAGGCUACCGAGUCUACGAGUUCAUGGGGGAGUAUGGUUGCAAAGCUGAAACUUAAAGGAAUUGACGGAAAGACACCACCAGGAGUGGAGCCUGCGGCUUAAUUUGACUCAACACGGGGAAACUCACGAGGUUCGGAUACUUGAAUGAUUGACAGAUUGAGAGCUCUUUCUUGAUCAAGUAGGUGGUGGUGCAUGGCCGUUCUUAGUUGGUGGAUUGAUUUGUCUGCUUAAUUGCGAUAACGAACGAGACUCUAGCCUACUUUAAAUAUGUAGUGGGAUUUGGCGAUGGGCGGUCUUGGUUGUACUUCGUGUCGGCCAAGAUUCGUUUUUCCAUUUGCUCAAAUUGCCACUAAAGCCUUGUGGUGCUUCGGUGCCACAAUGGUGACUUCUUAGAGGGACUCGAGUUGAUAAAUACCAUUCAAACUCAUGAAGUGGAGCAAUAACAGGUCUGUUAUGCCCUAAGAUAUCCUCGGCUGCACGCGCGCUACACUGUUAGAGACAGCGGGCCACAUGGCGUCAGCCUUCUCCCAUGGUGCGAAAGCAUGUCUGAGCGAUUGGCGGGUCCCUUUCGGGGGGCUCGUUCAAUUGUCUCAGGCGGGGAAUCCGGUGAACCUCUUGGAGACUCUUGCGAGUCAUAACGUGAUUGGGAUAGGGGAUUGCAAUUAUUGCCCUUGAACGAGGAAUUCCAAGUAUUGGCGAGUCAUCCAGCUCGUCGAGAUUACGUCCCUGCCCUUUGUACACACCGCCCGUCGCUACUACCGAUUGGAUGAGCCGGCGAGGACUUUGGAGAUGGCGAUUCGUUGAGCUCUUCGGAGCCCAAUGAAUGUGUCGUCAAAGUUGUUCGAACUGACUCAUCUAGAGGAAGUAAAAGUCGUAA
Molecule: ribosomal RNA, 2289 nt
Filed under: Speleorchestes sp. AD1314
Lineage: Eukaryota; Metazoa; Arthropoda; Arachnida; Sarcoptiformes; Nanorchestidae
Description: partial 18S ribosomal RNA
Rfam family: Eukaryotic small subunit ribosomal RNA
Source: RNAcentral